GUGCUCUCUUUGGCAGCACAUAUAUUGAAAUUCAAAUGACAGAGAGGAGAUUAGCAUGGCCCCUGUGCAAGGAUGACAUGCAAAUUUAUGAAGCCUUCCAUAUAAUA
Nomascus leucogenys (northern white-cheeked gibbon) is the source of this 107-nucleotide small nuclear RNA. Lineage: Eukaryota; Metazoa; Chordata; Mammalia; Primates; Hylobatidae. The record is from Ensembl.